UGAGCUUGGCACUUGUGAGGGCUAUCAUCGUCCUGGAAGUCAGCCCUGAAGUGACUAAUCUUGUCGGCUAUUUGUACAACUUGCUUUCUUCCUGCCUGUCUCAUUUCUCAGAGGGGGACGUAGGAAUAAGUUCCCAUCAGUCUAAUGAGUAUAAGAAAUGGUACAUCUCGAGAUAGAACAAUUAAUUCUUCUGUAGGGAACCACUCGAACAUCCAGUGCACUUGGUCUUCUUUCAGAUUUACAAACAACUCUACCUAUCCUCUAGCGUCCUCUGGCUAAGCGAACAUGUUAGGCAUAUAAUUCAUAUGCCUUGGCAGAAGGAAGGCGAUGUGAUCAUCCCAGUCUCUG
This 348-nucleotide long non-coding RNA is filed under the name Nicotiana benthamiana. RNAcentral describes it as "long non-coding RNA (NBEN_LNC037063)". Lineage: Eukaryota; Viridiplantae; Streptophyta; Magnoliopsida; Solanales; Solanaceae. The record is from RNAcentral.